CCUACGGGGGGCAGCAGUGGGGAAUAUUGCACAAUGGGGGAAACCCUGAUGCAGCGACGCCGCGUGAGUGAAGAAGUAUUUCGGUAUGUAAAGCUCUAUCAGCAGGGAAGAAGAAAGACGGUACCUGACUAAGAAGCCCCUGCUAACUACGUGCCAGCAGCCGCGGUAAAACGGAGGGGGCAAGCGUUAUCCGGAUUUACUGGGUGUAAAGGGAGCGUAGACGGUGAGACAAGUCUGAAGUGAAAGCCCGGGGCUCAACCCCGGGACUGCUUUGGAAACUGCCUGACUGGAGUGCUGGAGAGGCAAGCGGAAUGCCUAGUGUAGCGGUGAAAUGCGUAGAUAUUAGGAGGAACACCAGUGGCGAAGGCGGCUCACUGGACUGUAACUGACGUUGAGGCUCGAAAGCGUGGGGAGCAAACAGGAUUAGAUACCCCAGUAGUC
Molecule: ribosomal RNA, 441 nt
Filed under: uncultured bacterium
Lineage: Bacteria
Description: partial 16S ribosomal RNA
Rfam family: Bacterial small subunit ribosomal RNA
Source: RNAcentral